This 206-nucleotide ribosomal RNA is filed under the name uncultured bacterium. Its description in RNAcentral is "partial 16S ribosomal RNA". It matches the Rfam family "Bacterial small subunit ribosomal RNA", at positions 1297 to 1500 of the family's 1533-position model. The record is from RNAcentral.
AUCGCAGGCUGCAACCCGCCUGCGUGAAGCCGGAAUUGCUAGUAAUCGCGGAUCAGCAUGCCGCGGUGAAUACGUUCCCGGGCCUUGUACACACCGCCCGUCACACCAUGAGAGGCCCGGGGGGACCCGAAGUCGGUAGUUUAACCGCAAGGAGGACGCCGCCGAAGGUAAAACUGGUGAUUGGGGUGAAGUCGUAACAAGGUACC